Pteronotus mesoamericanus is the source of this 142-nucleotide small nucleolar RNA. RefSeq annotates it as small nucleolar RNA SNORA57. The transcript has a single exon. The record is from RefSeq and is a predicted model, not a curated record. Lineage: Eukaryota; Metazoa; Chordata; Mammalia; Chiroptera; Mormoopidae.
CCUGCCUUUCCUCGGCAGGAGUCAGGCACGGGAUCCGAGUCCCUGAAAUGUAUGGAGGCAGAGGAAGUGGAUCUGGUUCACUUAGCAUCAUAUCUUCAUGGUUUUCAGUCUACAGGUUCUAUCCUCAAGUGCUGGAACAUGA